RNAcentral lists this unclassified non-coding RNA (291 nucleotides) under Hevea brasiliensis (rubber tree). Lineage: Eukaryota; Viridiplantae; Streptophyta; Magnoliopsida; Malpighiales; Euphorbiaceae. The record is from RNAcentral.
GGAGGAGGUUUUAGAGAAGGAAGAUUAGCUGCUGGAGGAUCAUUACCUGGCCAAACCCAGAUCAUUCCUUCUUUCUCGAAACAUGGCAAAGAUUUUAUUUUCACAUUUAGCAAUCGCGUUGAUGGCAUUUUCUCACAUUUGCCAUCUGUUGAGUAUUCCCAACCAUGGUAAGGACACUGGACUCGGCCGUCAUUGACAGAACCGAGGUGAAGAGGGCAUGCCCUAUGAGCACAUGUGUUCCGUAUGCAUCCAGGUUUCCCAUCCUUUCCUCGGAAAAGAACCCAUGGUUCU